Molecule: ribosomal RNA, 649 nt
Filed under: uncultured bacterium
Lineage: Bacteria
Description: bacterial SSU rRNA
Rfam family: Bacterial small subunit ribosomal RNA
Source: RNAcentral
GAGGCGCGAAAGCGUGGGUAGCAAACAGGAUUAGAUACCCUGGUAGUCCACGCCGUAAACGAUGAGCACUAACUAUUGGGAGGCUUGACCUACUCAGUGGUACAGCUAACGCAUUAAGUGCUCCGCCUGGGGAGUACGGUCGCAAGAUUAAAACUCAAAGGAAUUGACGGGGGCCCGCACAAGCGGUGGAUUAUGUGGUUUAAUUCGAAGCAACGCGCAGAACCUUACCUGGGCUUGAAAUCCUACGAACCUGCCUGAAAGGGCGGGGUGCACUUCGGUGAAUGUAGUGACAGGCGCUGCAUGGCUGUCGUCAGCUCGUGUUGUGAAAUGUUGGGUUAAGUCUCGCAACGAGCGCAACCCCUAUCUUCUGUUGCCAGCAUUAAGUUGGGCACUCUGGAGAGACUGCCUGGGUUAACCAGGAGGAAGGUGGGGAUGACGUCAAGUCCUCAUGGCCCUUAUGUCCAGGGCUACACACGUAAUACAAUGGUCAACACAAAGGGUAGCCAACCAGCGAUGGGGAGCUAAUCUCAAAAAGUUGAUCUCAGUCCGGAUUGGAGUCUGCAACUCGACUCCAUGAAGUUGGAAUCGCUAGUAAUCGUGGAUCAGCACGCCACGGUGAAUACGUUCCCGGGCCUUGUACACACCGCCC